UGACGGUAUCUAACCAGCAAGUCACGGCUAACUACGUGCCAGCAGCCGCGGUAAUACGUAGGUGGCAAGCGUUAUCCGGAUUUAUUGGGCGUAAAGGGAACGCAGGCGGUUUUUUAAGUCUGAUGUGAAAGCCUUCGGCUUAACCAGAGAAUAGCAUUGGAAACUGGAAGACUUGAGUGCAGAAGAGGAGAGUGGAACUCCAUGUGUAGCGGUGAAAUGCGUAGAUAUAUGGAGGAACACCGGUGGCGAAAGCGGCUCUCUGGUCUGUAACUGACGCUGAGGCUCGAAAGCGUGGGGAGCAAACAGGAUUAGAUACCCUG
This 320-nucleotide ribosomal RNA is filed under the name uncultured bacterium. RNAcentral's name for it is "bacterial SSU rRNA". It matches the Rfam family "Bacterial small subunit ribosomal RNA", at positions 470 to 789 of the family's 1533-position model. The record is from RNAcentral.